This 253-nucleotide ribosomal RNA is filed under the name uncultured bacterium. Its description in RNAcentral is "partial 16S ribosomal RNA". It matches the Rfam family "Bacterial small subunit ribosomal RNA", at positions 524 to 776 of the family's 1533-position model. The record is from RNAcentral.
UACGAAGGAUCCAAGCGUUAUCCGGAUUCAUUGGGUUUAAAGGGUGCGUAGGCGGUUUUGUAAGUCAGUGGUGAAAGCCGGUCGCUUAACGAUCGAACUGCCAUUGAUACUGCAGAACUAGAGUGCAGAUGACGUUGGCGGAAUGUGUCAUGUAGCGGUGAAAUGCAUAGAUAUGACACAGAGCACCGAUUGCGAAGGCAGCUGACGAAACUGCAACUGACGCUGAUGCACGAAAGUGCGGGGAUCAAACAGG